CUUCCUUUCGUAGUUCCUCUCUCCCAAAGAGAAUGAUCUCGUUAAGAGCAUGAGCCUCAAGCCCUCUAAUGCUCAAUCUCAACUCAACAAUAAUUUACACUAAGGUCCCGUUUGGCCAUGAGUUUUGUCAAAAAUAAAUUUGAGAUUUAUUUGGCAAAUACAUGUUUGGUCAUAGAUUUUACCUACAUUUUGGCAAAAUCCCAAAUUCUCAAUCCCAAAUCUCAAAAUCACCUCAAUUGCUGAUUUUGGACCAAAACAUGACCGUUAUAUUUUUUAAAUUUUUUAAAUAUUACCCCAAAUUUUUAUAGUUUGUAAAAGAGCCCACAUUUAUUACGACCAACUAAACCAUAUCUGCUCACUUGCCUCUCAUUAAACUCACGCGUUUGCUUUGCCCUCUAUAAACAGAAGAGAACUCCACCGCAAAUUCUCCGUGCCAAUCGAUUGCAAUCCACAACAAAGACGAAAUUUGAAGAAACGUAAAAGAAUGAAUAGACCACGUGGUUCAACUGAUAAAUCACGUGGUGCUUCUGCUGAUAAAUAGACAGAUGAUGAAACGUCGAUCAUCGUAAAUAUCCUAUAUGAUGAUGCGAGGAAGCACGUGUUUAAUGGUUCUACCAUCAGUGGUCCCUGACAUUUGGGCAAAUCAUGUGAAGCGAAAGCUGCCAUAACAAGAAGCAUUGAGAAUGAAGCUGAUGUUAGAUUAAUGGUGGAUCCACUGGACUCUGCAUUAGGAGCUUC
This is a long non-coding RNA of Nicotiana tabacum (common tobacco), 738 nucleotides long. RefSeq lists it as uncharacterized. Lineage: Eukaryota; Viridiplantae; Streptophyta; Magnoliopsida; Solanales; Solanaceae. The record is from RefSeq and is a predicted model, not a curated record.